RNAcentral lists this ribosomal RNA (486 nucleotides) under Clavispora lusitaniae. RNAcentral describes it as "eukaryotic LSU rRNA". It matches the Rfam family "Eukaryotic large subunit ribosomal RNA", at positions 94 to 648 of the family's 3401-position model. The record is from RNAcentral. Lineage: Eukaryota; Fungi; Ascomycota; Pichiomycetes; Serinales; Metschnikowiaceae.
UGAAGCGGCAAAAGCUCAAAUUUGAAAUCCUGCGGGAAUUGUAAUUUGAAGGUUUCGUGGUCUGAGUCGGCCGCGCCCAAGUCCAUUGGAACAUGGCGCCUGGGAGGGUGAGAGCCCCGUAUGGCGCACGCCGACUCUUUGCACCGCGGCUCCGACGAGUCGAGUUGUUUGGGAAUGCAGCUCUAAGUGGGUGGUAAAUUCCAUCUAAAGCUAAAUAUUGGCGAGAGACCGAUAGCGAACAAGUACAGUGAUGGAAAGAUGAAAAGCACUUUGAAAAGAGAGUGGAAACAGCACGUGAAAUUGUUGAAAGGGAAGGGCUUGCAAGCAGACACGGUUUUACCGGGCCAGCGUCGAAAAGGGGGGAGGAACAAGAACUCGAGAAUGUGGCGCGCACCUUCGGGCGCGCGUGUUAUAGCUCGUGUUGACGCCUCCAUCCCUUUUCGAGGCCUGCGAUUCUAGGACGCUGGCGUAAUGGUUGCAAGCCGC